This is a ribosomal RNA of Metschnikowia bicuspidata var. bicuspidata NRRL YB-4993, 466 nucleotides long. It matches the Rfam family "Eukaryotic small subunit ribosomal RNA", at positions 623 to 1113 of the family's 1831-position model. NCBI's taxonomy places the organism in Eukaryota, Fungi, Ascomycota, Pichiomycetes, Serinales, Metschnikowiaceae. The record is from Rfam.
AAUGCCAGUAUCAAUACCAACACCAGUGUCGAAUCAAUUAAUACCAACACUGAAUACCAACACUAAUGAAUAGCUAAACCAGGAUAGACACCAACAAAUACCAACACUAAAGACCAAAACUAAUAAAUACCAAUACAAGUAUCAAUACCGAUAAAUACCAACACCAAUAAAAACCAAUACCAAUAAAUACCAAUACCAGUACCAACACCAAUAUCAAUACCAUUACCAAUUCAACACCAUUAUUGGUAUUCAGUUGUAAAAGGUGAAAUUCUUAGAUUUUCCAAAGACUAGCUACUGCGAAAGCAUUUGUCAAGGACGUUUUCAUUAAUCAAGAACGAAAGUCAGGGAUCGAAGAUGAUCAGAUAGCGCCGUAGUCUUAACCAUAAACUAUGCUGACUAGGGAUGGGGCGACGCCUCAUGUAAAUGACAGGCCCAGCACCUUACGAGGUAUCAAAGGUUUUGGGUU